RNAcentral lists this transfer RNA (73 nucleotides) under Candidatus Xiphinematobacter sp. RNAcentral's name for it is "tRNA-Arg". It matches the Rfam family "tRNA". Rfam says of the family: Transfer RNA (tRNA) molecules are approximately 80 nucleotides in length. Lineage: Bacteria; Pseudomonadati; Verrucomicrobiota; Spartobacteria. The record is from RNAcentral.
GCGCCUGUAGCUCAGGGGAUAGAGCAGUGGAUUUCUAAUCCAUUGGCCGCAGGUUCGAAUCCUGCCAGGCGCG